GAGUUUGAUUAUGGCUCAGGAUGAACGCUGGCGGCGUGCCUAACACAUGCAAGUCGAGCGCGGUUGUGCUUAGUAUUGAGUGUUUUAUUGAUAUAAACCAUUGAAUUCUAUGCACAACUGAGCGGCGGACGGGUGAGUAACGCGUGGGUAACCUGCCCUAUACACAUGGAUAACAUACUGAAAAGUUUACUAAUACAUGAUAAAAUAGUUUUUCGGCAUCGAAGAAUUAUCAAAGUGUUAGCGGUAUAGGAUGGACCCGCGUCUGAUUAGCUAGUUGGUGAGAUAACUGCCCACCAAGGCGACGAUCAGUAGCCGACCUGAGAGGGUGAUCGGCCACAUUGGAACUGAGACACGGUCCAAACUCCUACGGGAGGCAGCAGUGGGGAAUAUUGCACAAUGGGCGCAAGCCUGAUGCAGCAACGCCGCGUGAACGAUGAAGGUCUUCGGAUCGUAAAGUUCUGUUGCAGGGGAAGAUAAUGACGUACCCUNGNG
This 492-nucleotide ribosomal RNA is filed under the name Peptostreptococcus sp. canine oral taxon 033. RNAcentral describes it as "bacterial SSU rRNA". It matches the Rfam family "Bacterial small subunit ribosomal RNA", at positions 9 to 465 of the family's 1533-position model. Lineage: Bacteria; Bacillati; Bacillota; Clostridia; Peptostreptococcales; Peptostreptococcaceae. The record is from RNAcentral.